AGAGUUUGAUCCUGGCUCAGGAUGAACGCUGGCGGCGUGCCUAACACAUGCAAGUCGAACGGGUGUACGGGAUGGAAGGCUCCGGCCGGAAGCCCCGUGCAUGAGUGGCGGACGGGUGAGUAACGCGUGGGCAACCUGCCCUGUACAGGGGGACAACACUUAGAAAUAGGUGCUAAUACCGCAUAACGGGGGGAGCCGCAUGGCACCCCCCUGAAAACUCCGGUGGUACAGGAUGGGCCCGCGUCUGAUUAGCUAGUUGGCAGGGUAACGGCCUACCAAGGCGACGAUCAGUAGCCGGCCUGAGAGGGCGGACGGCCACACUGGGACUGAGACACGGCCCAGACUCCUACGGGAGGCAGCAGGUGGGGGAUAUUGCACAAUGGGGGGAACCCUGAUGCAGCGACGCCGCGUGGGUGAAGGAGCGUUUCGGCGCGUAAAGCCCUAUCGGCAGGGAAGAAGGAGGACGGUACCUGACUAAGAAGCCCCGGCUAACUACGUG
This 499-nucleotide ribosomal RNA is filed under the name uncultured Lachnospiraceae bacterium. RNAcentral describes it as "bacterial SSU rRNA". It matches the Rfam family "Bacterial small subunit ribosomal RNA", at positions 8 to 507 of the family's 1533-position model. The record is from RNAcentral. Lineage: Bacteria; Bacillati; Bacillota; Clostridia; Lachnospirales; Lachnospiraceae.